Chrysemys picta bellii (western painted turtle) is the source of this 116-nucleotide non-coding RNA. The record is from RefSeq and is a predicted model, not a curated record. NCBI's taxonomy places the organism in Eukaryota, Metazoa, Chordata, Testudines, Emydidae.
UCCAUUUUCAGGGCUAGUUGAUUUGGCAGGUGAGUUGUUACACACUCCUUAGCGGAUUCCAACUUCCAUGGCCACCAUCCUGCUGUCUAUAUCAACCAACCCUGAAAAUGGAUUGC